UAGGGAAUUUUCGUCAAUGGGCGCAAGCCUGAACGAGCAAUGCCGCGUGAGUGAGGAAGGCCUUCGGGUCGUAAAGCUCUGUUGCGAGGGAAAAAGGAACGGAAGAGG
This 108-nucleotide ribosomal RNA is filed under the name uncultured bacterium. RNAcentral's name for it is "partial 16S ribosomal RNA". It matches the Rfam family "Bacterial small subunit ribosomal RNA", at positions 355 to 462 of the family's 1533-position model. The record is from RNAcentral.